GAUGAACGCUGGCGGCGUGCCUAAUACAUGCAAGUCGAGCGAACGGACGAGAAGCUUGCUUCUCUGAUGUUAGCGGCGGACGGGUGAGUAACACGUGGAUAACCUACCUAUAAGACUGGGAUAACUUCGGGAAACCGUAGCUAAUACCGGAUAAUAUUUUGAACCGCAUGGUUCAAAAAUGAAAGACGGUCUUGCUGGCACUUAUAGAUGGAUCCGCGCUGCAUUAGCUAGUUGGUAAGGUAACGGCUUACCAAGGCAACGAUGCAUAGCCGACCUGAGAGGGUGAUGGGCAACACUGGAACUGAGACACGGUCCAGACUACUACGGGAGGCAGCAGUAGGGAAUCUUCCGCAAUGGGCGAAAGCAUGACGGAGCAACGCCGCGUGAGUGAUGAAGGUCUUCGGAUCGUAAAACUCUGUUAUUAGGGAAGAACAUAUGUGUAAGUAACUGUGCACAUCUUGACGGUACCUAAUCAGAAAGCCACGGCUAACUACGUG
This 497-nucleotide ribosomal RNA is filed under the name uncultured bacterium. RNAcentral describes it as "partial 16S ribosomal RNA". It matches the Rfam family "Bacterial small subunit ribosomal RNA", at positions 28 to 507 of the family's 1533-position model. The record is from RNAcentral.